GACGAACGCUGGCGGCGUGCCUAAUACAUGCAAGUCGAGCGAACAGACGAGGCGCUUGCUCCUCUGACGUUAGCGGCGGACGGGUGAGUAACACGUGGAUAACCUACCUAUCAGACUGGGAUAACUUCGGGAAACCGGAGCUAAUCCCGGAUAAUAUCUUGAACCGCAUGGUUCAAUGGUGAAAGUCGGUUUUGCUGUCACUUAUAGAUGGAUCUCCGCCGCAUUAGCUAGUUGGUAGGGUAACGGGUUACCAAGGGGACGAUGCGUGACCGACCUGAGAGGGUGAUCGGCCACACUGGAACGUGGACACGGUCCAGGCUCCUACGGGAGGCAGCAGUAGGGAAUCUUCCGCAAUGGGCGAAAGCCUGACGGAGCAGCGCCGCGUGAGUGAUGAAGGUCUUCCGAUCGUAAAACUCUGUUAUUAGGGAAGAACAGAUGUGUAAGUAACUAUGCACGUCGUGACGGUACCUGAUCAGAAAGCCACGGCUAACUACGUG
RNAcentral lists this ribosomal RNA (497 nucleotides) under uncultured bacterium. RNAcentral's name for it is "partial 16S ribosomal RNA". It matches the Rfam family "Bacterial small subunit ribosomal RNA", at positions 28 to 507 of the family's 1533-position model. The record is from RNAcentral.